Molecule: unclassified non-coding RNA, 984 nt
Filed under: Penaeus monodon (black tiger shrimp)
Lineage: Eukaryota; Metazoa; Arthropoda; Malacostraca; Decapoda; Penaeidae
Description: c-factor-like, transcript variant X2
Source: RNAcentral
AGCCCAACCGACCCGGCCAGUCGCUCCUCGGAAGCCGACGAGAAAACAUCUCUCUCCUCGUAAAAUCGUCUUCCGAUUUCUUGUCUUGAAAAGAUGCUCGCUCGGAGUGUUCUUGUCACCGGUUGCAGCCGCGGCAUCGGCUUGGAGUUCGUGCGACAGCUGGUAUCGUGCGAUAAACCUCCGGCCGUGGUCAUAGGUACUUGCAGGAAUCCGGACAAAGCCACAGAACUGCAAGAACUCGCCAAGAAAUAUUCAAACCUGAAGAUCAUCAAAUUUGACGUGACAGACUACGCCAGCCUCCCCCGCGUGGUCGAGGAGGUAGGCCAGGCCGUGGGCGAGGGCGGCCUCAACCUCCUGAUCAACAACGCGGGCGUCAUGGACAAGUGCCCCUCGCAGAUGUUCGGCGUGCCCCUCCAGCACCUCGAGGCCAAGCUGUUCAGUGAGGUCCUCGAGACCAACACCACGGCGCCCCUCAUGCUGAUCAAGGAGCUGCUCCCCCUCCUCAGAAAGGCCGCGGCGUCGGGUGGAGGUCCUGUGGGCGUGUCCAGGGCAGCCGUGAUCAACAUGUCCACCAUCCUGGCUUCGAUGGGCAGCUUCGUUGGCAACGCUGACAUCUACGGCUACCGGGCGAGCAAGACCGCCCUCAACAUGCUGACGAAGGCCCUGUCGGUGGACUUGGGGCACGAGGGCCUGCUGUUCGUGGCGCUGCACCCCGGCUGGGUCCAGACCGACAUGGGCACGAGCGCGGGCAUGCUGACGACGGAGCAGAGCGUCAAGGACAUGAUCCAGCUGAUGGCGACGCUGACGGAGAAGAACAACGGCUGUUUUAUUUCGCACGACGGGAGCGAGCUGCCCUGGUGAGGCGGGGCGCGCAUGGCGGGCUUCGACUCUAGGGUGAAGGGUAUUUGUUUGUCUUGGUUCCCGAUUCUCGUACCGUUCUUUUUCAUCUGAUAAUAAUCUUUUUCUGUGUUUCUGUUUUUGUUA